GAUGAAGACGCAGCAAAAUGCGAUAAGUAAUGUGAAUUGCAGAAUUCAGUGAAUCAUCGAAUCUUUGAACGCACAUUGCGCCCGCCAGUAUUCUGGCGGGCAUGCCUGUUCGAGCGUCAUUUCAACCCUCAAGCUCAGCUUGGUGUUGGGACUCGCGGUAACCCGCGUUCCCCAAAUCGAUUGGCGGUCACGUCGAGCUUCCAUAGCGUAGUAAUCAUACACCUCGUUACUGGUAAUCGUCGCGGCCACGCCGUAAAACCCCAACUUCUGAAUGUUGACCUCGGAUCAGGUAGGAAUACCCGCUGAACUUAAGCAUAUCAAUAAGCGGAGGA
This 332-nucleotide unclassified non-coding RNA is filed under the name soil metagenome. RNAcentral's name for it is "partial contains 5.8S ribosomal RNA, internal transcribed spacer 2, and large subunit ribosomal RNA". The stretch from base 1 to 119 matches the Rfam family "5.8S ribosomal RNA", at positions 35 to 154 of the family's 154-position model. The record is from RNAcentral.